ACGUACACUCCUACGGGAGGCAGCAGUGGGGAAUAUUGCACAAUGGGCGCAAGCCUGAUGCAGCCAUGCCGCGUGUAUGAAGAAGGCCUUCGGGUUGUAAAGUACUUUCAGCGGGGAGGAAGGCGAUAAGGUUAAUAACCUUGUCGAUUGACGUUACCCGCAGAAGAAGCACCGGCUAACUCCGUGCCAGCAGCCGCGGUAAUACGGAGGGUGCAAGCGUUAAUCGGAAUUACUGGGCGUAAAGCGCACGCAGGCGGUCUGUCAAGUCGGAUGUGAAAUCCCCGGGCUCAACCUGGGAACUGCAUUCGAAACUGGCAGGCUAGAGUCUUGUAGAGGGGGGUAGAAUUCCAGGUGUAGCGGUGAAAUGCGUAGAGAUCUGGAGGAAUACCGGUGGCGAAGGCGGCCCCCUGGACAAAGACUGACGCUCAGGUGCGAAAGCGUGGGGAGCAAACAGGAUUAGAUACCCUUGUAGUCCC
This 476-nucleotide ribosomal RNA is filed under the name uncultured organism. RNAcentral's name for it is "partial 16S ribosomal RNA". It matches the Rfam family "Bacterial small subunit ribosomal RNA", at positions 329 to 797 of the family's 1533-position model. The record is from RNAcentral.